This 194-nucleotide ribosomal RNA is filed under the name uncultured Bacillus sp. RNAcentral's name for it is "partial 16S ribosomal RNA". It matches the Rfam family "Bacterial small subunit ribosomal RNA", at positions 1190 to 1374 of the family's 1533-position model. The record is from RNAcentral. Lineage: Bacteria; Bacillati; Bacillota; Bacilli; Caryophanales; Bacillaceae.
UCAUCAUGCCCCUUAUGUUCUGGGCUACACACGUGCUACAAUGGCCGGUACAGACGGACGCAAAGCCGCGAGGUGGAGCAAAUCCUAAAAAGCCGGUCUCAGUUCGGAUUGCAGGCUGCAAUUCGCCUGCAUGAAGUCGGAAUCGCUAGUAAUCGCGGAUCAGCACGCCCGCGGUCCGAAUACGUUCCGGCCUU